RNAcentral lists this ribosomal RNA (209 nucleotides) under Escherichia coli. RNAcentral describes it as "partial 23S ribosomal RNA". It matches the Rfam family "Bacterial large subunit ribosomal RNA", at positions 2118 to 2326 of the family's 2925-position model. Lineage: Bacteria; Pseudomonadati; Pseudomonadota; Gammaproteobacteria; Enterobacterales; Enterobacteriaceae. The record is from RNAcentral.
UGGACUUUGAACCGAUCUGUGUAGGAUAGGUGGGAGGCUAUGAAACCGGAACGCUAGUUUCGGUGGAGCCGUCCUUGAAAUACCACCCUGGUUUGUUUGAGGUUCUAACCUUGGCCCGUGAUCCGGGUCGGGGACAGUGCAUGGUAGGCAGUUUGACUGGGGCGGUCUCCUCCCAAAGCGUAACGGAGGAGUACGAAGGUACGCUAGGU